RNAcentral lists this non-coding RNA (571 nucleotides) under Coprobacillus sp. D7. RNAcentral describes it as "ROOL RNA". It matches the Rfam family "ROOL RNA". From Rfam's summary of the family: Firmicutes, Fusobacteria (1 example), Tenericutes (1 example). Environment (Cow rumen (57)) The record is from Rfam by way of RNAcentral. Lineage: Bacteria; Bacillati; Bacillota; Erysipelotrichia; Erysipelotrichales; Coprobacillaceae.
ACGCUUUUGUUUUAGAUAUUGCAUCAUGGUGAAUAAAGCGAAUGCCAUCGCUCCAUGAACUUGAUGGGAACUCAUAGACAAUUUAUGGGAUACUGUAGAUUGGAUGUGUUUUAUGAUUGGUGACAAUCAUAAUGAAGAUUCUAAAUGGAAUCAAAAGAAGUCAUGUUGCAUCACUAGUAUGAAUGUAAAAACAGUGAACUUAUCGCGGUGAUAAUAGACGCUCCAGUGGAGAAUAACCCGUGGACCCCUUUUCGUAGCUGAAAUUGAAACAAUUCGGGAAUGCUAAAGCAAACCGUUUGUCGUGAAACUGUAGAAAUAUAGUUAUAAGAUAAGUAGCACGUACAUAGCUCAAAAGACAGUUUUUGAUAACUUAGAUAUAAAGUUGUAUAUUAUUCUAAAUGCUGAAUGGUGAGUAAAUGUUGCGGGUAUCAAUCCCGUCCAGUCUAGUUCGUAAGAAUUGGUGAAAUGCAUAAAGGUAGCUCCUCUAUGUACAGCUUCAUCAAACUGGUUGUUGAAAAUACAUGUUUAUUAGUUGAGUAAGUAGAAAUACUGCAAUAUCAUGUCGUCAUAG